Molecule: long non-coding RNA, 772 nt
Filed under: Ictidomys tridecemlineatus (thirteen-lined ground squirrel)
Lineage: Eukaryota; Metazoa; Chordata; Mammalia; Rodentia; Sciuridae
Description: lncRNA (ENSSTOG00000030578.1)
Source: RNAcentral
ACGUGGAUCCAGUCACCUCGGGAAGCCCACCUCUGGACCUUGCAUCCUUGGGUUCCAAGCCCUCCGCCCAUGGGCCUUUGGGAGACACCCCAGUUUGAGCAUCUACACUUGGCUCCAGGGUCCAGUGGGCAUCGCGUCUCUGGUGGACUCAAGGUGAUCCCCAAAAACAUCCAGAGGGGGAGAGAUGGGCGCCAGGAGGCGAUGGGUAGAUAGUUGGAUGGGCAGGUCGCAGAGCGAGGAAGGGAAUCUGGGGCUCGGGGGAAGCACCUCACCUCCUUUCAGGGUCCCCUUGACCAUCCUCUGCCUCCGGCCGCCAUCUUGCUUCUUGGCUUGUCCACAAUGCUUGGAGCUGCCCACCCUGUGGCCGUCACCUGGUGAACGGGAGUCAGAGGGUCGUCAGAACCAGGACCCCCGCCCUGGGCGCUGUGGAUUGCAAAAUGUGUCCCCGGAAUUGCACAUCGAGUGACAGCCGUGAAACGGGAAGAACGGCAUUCCUGUGCUCACACUCGGCGAGGACAAGUUCCUCCAAAGGGAAUAGACCCCUGGUGGGAAACGAAGACAAGAAGAGACCACGUCCGGUUCUGGUUUCUGCUGGAACUGCACCAGCCAGAGGGCAAACGUCCCUGGGAUCAACGUCUUUGGGAAAUGGAGGAGAGCAGGGAAAGCGCCUUGUACGGCUCGUCGUGCUCGGAGAACAGACGCCCAGGGGACAACUGAUUCGCCAUGUGGGUUUGUGUUCCCAAGGGUGAUGAGGACGAUUGUCAUAAUGGCA